UGUUUGGUUAGUCCCGCAACGUUCCGCAACCCCUAUGGUUAGUUACCAGCACAUAAUGGUGGGGACUCUAAUCAGACUGCCUACGCAAGUAGUGAGGAAGGUGGGGACGACGUCAAGUCAUCAUGGCCCUUACGUCCAGGGCUGCACACGUGCUACAAUGGUUGGAACAAUGGGUGGCUACCUCGCGAGGGGAUGCUAAUCUCCAAAUCCAAUCUCAGUUCGGAUCGUAGUCUGCAACUCGACUACGUGAAGUUGGAAUCGCUAGUAAUCGCGUAUCAGCAACGACGCGGUGAAUACGUUCCCGGGCCUUGUACACACCGCCCGUCAAGCGAUGGAAGUGGGGAGUACCUGACGCCGCCGCGCUAACCUUCGGGGGGCCGGUGUCCAGGGUAAGACUCAUAACUGGCGCUAAGUCGUAACAAGGUAGCCGUACCGGAAGGUGCGGCUGGAUCAC
This 454-nucleotide ribosomal RNA is filed under the name uncultured bacterium. Its description in RNAcentral is "bacterial SSU rRNA". It matches the Rfam family "Bacterial small subunit ribosomal RNA", at positions 1073 to 1526 of the family's 1533-position model. The record is from RNAcentral.